This 282-nucleotide long non-coding RNA is filed under the name Homo sapiens (human). Its description in RNAcentral is "non-protein coding lnc-NAALADL2-1:14". Lineage: Eukaryota; Metazoa; Chordata; Mammalia; Primates; Hominidae. The record is from RNAcentral.
CGCAGACGAGCCCGCGCCCGCGCCGCUCAGUUUUCUGAAAGAAAAGAUCAGUAAGAUCAGUUAUGGGCUAUGAUGAAACCAUUUUAAGUCUCUGUUCUUUGCCAAGCUCCAAGGUAGGUCAAGGGAAUCAAUAAUGUAGGAUUGUGAAGUCUUUGUCCAGGUUACUCACAGAAUUUUCUUGUGAGUGAAAGACUUGGGAGAUUUUAGAAGUUACCAUCUAUCAACAGUUUUCUGAUAUCUGCUCAUCUAAUACUGUUACACUUUUGUUUAAUCUGUUGUGGC